Mirounga angustirostris (Northern elephant seal) is the source of this 526-nucleotide long non-coding RNA. RefSeq lists it as uncharacterized. The transcript is spliced from 2 exons. NCBI's taxonomy places the organism in Eukaryota, Metazoa, Chordata, Mammalia, Carnivora, Phocidae. The record is from RefSeq and is a predicted model, not a curated record.
GCGACUCUGGGAUCAUGACCUGAGCGGAAGGCAGACGCUUAACGACUGAGCCACCCAGGCGCCCCUGUGUUUUUAAUACAAACAUAUAACUUGUAACUUCUACAGGUGGUGAUAAAAAGUGAUGUUAGCUAUUUGUAUCAUUUAAGAUCCCAGUGUUCUGCUGCAUGUCAUAAAAACUUAACUGCAGUGACUUGACCAAAUAAGUUUGGGUUUUUUUUUCUUAUAUACAGGAAGUACACAGGGACGCCUUCAUCAGUCUUACACAAUUCACAGCGCUCACCAUUCAGUGCCCCCUUCUUUAGCCUGUAAGGUUGAUACUGGGCCAUCUAUCCUGCAACCUGGAGGAGGCUGAGAUCUGGGCCAUCUAUCCUGCAACUUGGAGGAGGCUGAGAUAAUAAGGCCAACAUCUGGACCUAAGAACUUAGACCCCAGUCAGAUACAGUGAAUUCAAGUGAACUCUGAAAACACUACCCCUCUCUUUAUACAAUUUGUUUACAUGGAUUAAUAAAUUUCCCUUGUUACUUAA